AGAGUUUGAUCCUGGCUCAGGAUGAACGCUAGCGGCAGGCUUAAUACAUGCAAGUCGAGGGGCAGCAUGAUUGUAGCAAUACAAUUGAUGGCGACCGGCAAACGGGUGCGGAACACGUACACAACCUUCCAACAAGUGGGGGAUAGCCCAGAGAAAUUUGGAUUAAUACCCCGUAACAUAGCGAUGUGGCAUCACAUUGCUAUUAUAGAUUUUUCGCUUGUUGAUGGGUGUGCGGCUGAUUAGAUAGUUGGCGGGGUAACGGCCCACCAAGUCUACGAUCAGUAGCUGAUGUGAGAGCAUGAUCAGCCACACGGGCACUGAGACACGGGCCCGACUCCUACGGGAGGCAGCAGUAAGGAAUAUUGGACAAUGGACGCAAGUCUGAUCCAGCCAUGCCGCGUGAAGGAUUAAGGUCCUCUGGAUUGUAAACUUCUUUUAUAAGGGACGAAAAAAGGCUUUUCUAAGUCGUCUGACGGUACCUUAUGAAUAAGCACCGGCUAACUCCGUGCCAGCAGCCGCGGUAAUACGGAGGGUGCAAGCGUUAUCCGGAUUCACUGGGUUUAAAGGGUGCGUAGGCGGGCAGGUAAGUCAGUGGUGAAAUCCUAGAGCUUAACUCUAGAACUGCCAUUGAUACUAUCUGUCUUGAAUAUUGUGGAGGUAAGCGGAAUAUGUCAUGUAGCGGUGAAAUGCUUAGAUAUGACAUAGAACACCUAUUGCGAAGGCAGCUUACUACGCAUAUAUUGACGCUGAGGCACGAAAGCGUGGGGAUCAAACAGGAUUAGAUACCCUGGUAGUCCACG
Molecule: ribosomal RNA, 800 nt
Filed under: uncultured bacterium
Lineage: Bacteria
Description: bacterial SSU rRNA
Rfam family: Bacterial small subunit ribosomal RNA
Source: RNAcentral